AAAGUAGUUCAGGUUUAGUGCUCCAUAUCGUGUUAGUAUUGGUGAGUAGGUGUAGUGUAGUAUGGUUGCGGUGACUCUGUGGGCAUUUUACCCGCGAUUCUGCACGUCUCCGUUUGAAGAGGGAGGCUGCCCACCGUGGCUCUUCUUCCGCGAUUUAGAUGCAGCCCACCGACUCUGCUCCCCCACCACGGCGGGCUCCAGUCUGAGGUGAGUAAGCUAAAUAAACGUUUUAACAUCUUCUAAAGACAAUUCCCUACCUAAAUGCAAAGUCUGAGAGACGUGGUUCACUUCCUUUAGCUAGUCAGUCGGCAAUUCUGCAACAGUGGCUCUAACUAACAGCACUAGUGGACAGACAGCAUUACAGCGUGAAAUCCAGCACAGCGUGACCCGGUUCUGUAAGGAAUUCUGUUCAGGAGGUCACAUUUCAGGCUCUCCACAUCAUGUGUGACUGACUUUUACGUUAUAACGAUCACACACUAGGAAUGUUAUAAAGCAAUAGGAGAUUCUUUUGUAUAUUAUCUGACUUUAUAAACUCCCAACAACAAUGUGCUUAUUUUUUUUUUCAGGCUAAAUCUACCCAAGACACUGGCUGUCAGACUGAUUUAGCUGCAAGAAUGCACUUGUCCAGGCUGACGUGAAACCUUCCCUGUAGCAAAGCCAGCCAGAAUGGAGUUCACAGCCGCAGUGUGUCUGGUGACCCACGGGGACCAUGAUGAAAAUUCAUCUUCCAGAAGGUCCCAGAGCGUCCACACCCCCUGAAAAGACCAAGGUGUGAGGUGUCUGCUGUUGAUUCCAGCUUCCACCUCAGUGACAGUGCAAGCUCAGUGAACUGUUCAAGCCUGGCUGAUCACCUGAUAACUCCUGUCAUCUGGUUAUGACAGCAUGAGGAUGUCCUCACACACCUGUAACCUAUCAGCUCAUCUGGCAGAAUAGAGAGAGAAGAUACAACACCACAUCUCCUGUUCCUGGAAAGCCUUCAGCCAUCCUUCGAUGACUGAGAACCUCCAUCAGCUCUGUCUCCUGUCUGCCUACAAUUAUUAUAAUAAAUAUUGUGUUUGACAAGUUUUUUUGUGCUGCCAAAUAUCUCAUAUAGAUUCCAGUUUUGAUAUUUUAAUGGA
This is a long non-coding RNA of Nothobranchius furzeri (turquoise killifish), 1118 nucleotides long. RefSeq lists it as uncharacterized. NCBI's taxonomy places the organism in Eukaryota, Metazoa, Chordata, Actinopteri, Cyprinodontiformes, Nothobranchiidae. The record is from RefSeq and is a predicted model, not a curated record.